GUGUAGCUGGCUUGCUGAAUUCUUCUCCUUUGCCUAAAGAGAGAGGCUGGACCAUUCCUAAUAAGGUAAGCUCAGGCCUGGAAAAUAUCGGCUCAUCACCUAGCUUCUUCAAGCCAAAAUGCUUUUGACCUACCUGCACACUGCUCUUUUGCUAACAACUCUCUUCCUAUCUCUCUGGGUUUCCCUAUAAAGAAGAUAGAAGGGUCUGUUUCUCCUUAAGGUUUGUAGGAACUCUAUCCCAAAAAUAAAUCCCUCCUUAACUGCAUAGCGGAACGGUUCACUGACAGCUCCCUGUCUCACUGUGGGCUGACCUUCUCCUGGCUGACUCUGCCAAGACCCUCAUAUUUUAAGGAUGAUGUCUUACUUCCCAGUUUCCACCCCACAGCCCACCUGCCUCUUCCAUUCCUCCCUCUACUCAAGCAGGAGAUCGAUGAUCUAAAUCCCUAUUUGCAGAUGGUGAGAAUGAAAGUAAUAUAAGAUAUAAAGUAAUAAGGCAUAAAGAUGGGACUACUUUUAGUAUGAAUCAUUUGAAAUUCCUUUCUCAUUGGUCAAAAAGCAGUUAAAUAUUGGCAAUUUCAGAUGAUUCACCUAACGAUUCUUUUUGCCCAAGGAGGCAAUGUGAGGUGCACAUCAGUUGCCUAAGUCAGCUAGACUCAUUGGAUGCCCUUGACUUCAACUACUGCACAUGCCUGGAUAAUUCUCAAAUAUGCAUCUCCAAUUCAGCUUCUCUUCUGACCUAUCAGACAUCCUCAUUUGGAUGUGACAAAUGUACCCCAAAUCUGUGAUGUCCAAAAUGGCAUCAUUGUUCCCCACUUCAGACCUGCUCAUUCUAUAUCCCUGUGGCAAGUGCCUCCAUUAUCCAAAGUCACCAAAUUCUACCCAAGGGAAUAUUCGUAGCUGUUCUCUCUUAAAUCCUCCGUCUCAGUUGAUAGACACAUAAGUUAAUAAUAUCUCCUUCAUCGUGUUUAAUCUCCUUUCUACCUCCCCACUGCUCUCUUCUAAAUUCUCAUAAUUUCUUACUGGCAUUCUAGUAACAACCUCCUAAUUAUUUUCUCUGCCUCCAGUUUUCUCACAUCUCCAAAGCCUGUGGAAUCCUUCAAUCAGGGACAUUUUUCUGAAACACAAAUUUGAUGAUGCUCUUCUUCUUCCAUGUCUCCUAUUGCCUUUUGGUAAAGGCCUCAUUCCUAAACACCCACAAGAAUCUUUUAUCUCAUGGUUAUCAAAGGAGGUUGGGAUCUGGCAGUAUUAUCUCUCUCUGUCUCUUUUUUAUUUUCAGACAGGGUCUCACUCUGUUGCCCAGGCUGGAGUGCAGUGGCACAAUCACAGCUCACUGCAGCCUCCACCUCCUGGGCCCAAGCUAUUCUCCUUCCUCAGCCUCCCAAGUAGUUGGAACAGCUACCUGUGUGACCUUGGGCAAGUCACUUGGCAUCUCUGUACCCCCAUUUAUACAAAGGAGAUGGACCUAAACAGCUCUGAGCAGCCAACGGAGGGAAGAAGAGAUUCCUAGAAGGCAAGAAACAAAAUGGCCAGGUAACCCAUCUGAAUAGUAUCCGGGCAUUAGCACAGGCUACCAGCCAAUCAGAAGCAAGGAAGUGAAGAGGAAAGGAGGACUGAGGGAUUGUUUUGGCUGCUGGUCACUCAGAGACUAAGAGAGAGAGCCUUCAGACUCCCUCAUUCCCUUGUGGGAUUUAUGAGGAAACUAAGACCCAUAAAUAUCAAAAAUGUGACCCAAGGCCUUGGAUAUAGUGAUUGUCAGAGUUGCCCUCAACCUGGGACCUCUGGGAUCAAGAGAAGUGAGCCUUGGACUAACUACAUGUUCACUCUCGCAUCGGAAAUUGGGUGUAAUUUGGCUUAAAUAUGGGGCUUGGGGAUUGUUAUCAAUUUGUUAUGGCACAAAUUGUCCUUUUUCAAUUUGCCUUUUCUCUUCCCUUCUUCCCUCCAAAAUAUCCCCCUAUUCUUUCUCCCUCUGCACUUCCAAUUCAGAGGAACUCAGGUUUUUACUUCCUUAGGAGGACGUGCUAGCAUCACCGGUGUUGUGGGCCUUGAGCCGAGGGCCUCAGGACUGUGAUGAGGCUCAGGGCCACAGUAAGAGCAGGGUUUCCUGAACACAACACUGCACUUAACCACACCUGGGUGAAAAUUUCAUUUUCUUCACACAAAGACUGGGCUCUAAAGUGUCCAGUGUUCUAUGAGUCUCGAUAAGGUGAAAUAAUUCUGUUAUUGUUGACUCAUAGAUUUUCUGCUUGCAUGUAUACCUAAAGACUUUUUGCAAUUCUUGCCAGGGUAUAUAUUUUUUAAGAUACAAAACUGUCUUACACCCCACAGCAAGCUUUAAUCCUGUGAGGACAAUCUGUUUCUCCUGGCAACACUAAGGCUACUAGAUGAACAGGGGUCAGCCGGGUAGUUUGAAGAGAAGCCUUGGUAAUCUGUUAGACAAAGCUGAGAAUUCUCUAAAGAAUGUCUAGCAAAGAUACUUCAGUUUGAAGUGAAUAGAAAGGGUUUUGUUCACAGGCCCUGCCUUGCUGCUGGAUUCAAAGAAUGUGCAGCACCAGAAAAGGACAUCAAUGUCCUUCUUGAAAAUGAAACACACACGCGCACACACACACACACACACACACGUGUCUUCUUUUCUGCCUGCAUUGAGCAUUGCAUAACUGUGGAAAAGUUCAUCACGCCUGAAAAUAUGUAUCUUUCCUUUGAUCCAAAGCAAGUGCUAUAUUGGAAUAAAGAUGCCAUAUCUUCCGCCUUUAGUAAAAUGAAUUGUCAAGGAUUUUGCUUCAGAAAGAUCAAGAAAAGACCAAACGAUUCUGCAGGGUGAGGCCUCAGAGUUCAGGCUGUUGAUUAGGAGUUAGGGGCCCUGUAAGUCUUAUUGGUUCUCAGCUUUCUCACUAGCUCAUGUUUGUGACCUUAGGCAAGGCACUUAAGCUCUUUGUACCUUCAUUCCUCCAUUUGAAAAUUAGAGAUAAUACUUGCCGCCUACUUAAACUCAAAGGGAUAUGUGAGGAUUAGCCAAUUAAAGUUUGCCAAAUGCUUGGGAAUCAAUGGAGGGAAAAAUCUGUAUGAAUAUAAGGUAUCAUUGUCAGUCCCGCCUGACUCCCUCUUCACUCUCUUACCCCUCCUGUUUCCACCCUCUCUUUUAAAGGAUUGCCUUCCUGGGAAACUCAUGAGCAUUAUGCAUGGUUUUACUUAUGGUUGCUAUUGUGGAAAGUGGCCAUCUCCUAUUAUUAAGUGAUUUGUUUGAAGUUGGUCCUUUCUAUACCAUCACGGGGGAGGUUUCCAAAUCAAAGCAUCCUAGACUGAUUGUCAGUGAGGCACAGCUGGCAAGGUUUCUUUUGGGUUUACCUUUAGCAUCCUGUAGAGAGGAGAAAACAACCAUUUUAAUGUAAAAUAGUAAGCAUAAUUUGGAAAUAUUUGCCCAUUAGGAAUACAAAGCUAGUGAGGUACAAAAAUAAAGUCAAUUUAGAGCCCUUGUUACAAUCCUUGAAGAAAUUCCCCUUUUAACCAAAACAAUAAUAGUGCUUCCUAUUUCAUAAACGUUGCUCCUCUGGCUGUUACAGCCACGUGAAAAAUGAGUGUAACAUAACUAUGGCAUAUUAUCUGUUUGUUUCACAAUUGGAAAAUUGAGAUGCAGAGAGAUUAAGUGACUUGCUCACCACAACUUAGCUAACGAACGGAACGGCAA
Molecule: long non-coding RNA, 3682 nt
Filed under: Homo sapiens (human)
Lineage: Eukaryota; Metazoa; Chordata; Mammalia; Primates; Hominidae
Description: HSALNT0058385
Source: RNAcentral